Molecule: ribosomal RNA, 253 nt
Filed under: uncultured bacterium
Lineage: Bacteria
Description: partial 16S ribosomal RNA
Rfam family: Bacterial small subunit ribosomal RNA
Source: RNAcentral
UACGGGGGGGGCAAGCGUUGUUCGGAAUUACUGGGCGUAAAGGGCUUGUAGGUGGCCAUCUAAGUCAGACGUGAAAUCCCUCAGCUUAACUGGGGAACUGCGUCUGAUACUGGAUGGCUUGAGUUUGGGAGAGGGACGCGGAAUUCCAGGUGUAGCGGUGAAAUGCGUAGAUAUCUGGAGGAACACCGGUGGCGAAGGCGGCGUCCUGGACCAAUACUGACACUGAAAAGCGAAAGCCAGGGGAGCAAACGGG